CAGGCAUAGUUAAGUGAAUAAUUCCUGUUCUAAAUUAGUCUGGUUUUCUCAAAUUUUUAGGUUCUAGGGCUCCUACUAUGAGGUUCUAGAAAAAAAUAAUCUUUUCUUCAACUCUCAUAAGUUCUUUGUUGAAACGGACCCCUGUGCCAAUAGACAGAUUAAUGAGAGAAAAAUAAACAGAAAUUUAAUAGCAUGGAUAUUUUGUAAAUACAUGGGAAACACCCAGGAAAUGAAUAGUCUUAAAGCAGUGGCUUUAAAUUCCAGAUUAUAUAGCAUCUGCAACAAAGAACAGUGAAAUUUUAAAGAAGUGACAAGGCAAAAGAGAAGACUGAAUCUUCAGUGGCAGCAAAUGGUGGGAAGGCAAAUAAAGGAACUGCAUACACAGUGGAGAAGAAAACAGAAAAAGGUAUGGCGUGAUGAAGCUUACAUUCAGACAGACAAGUAAGUAAACAAAUACAUAAGGUAUAAAUAAAGCACUACUCAGUGUUUUAUUUAUUUCAAUUAUCUAUUUUUAUAUAAUAAGCCACCCCCAAAUUUAGUGCCUUAGAGCAACUGUUUUAUUUUGCUCUUUGAUUUUGUAAGUCAGGAAUGUUGACAGGGUGUGGCUGGGUGGUGAGCUCCAAUCGCAACAUCAGCUAGGAUGGUGGGUGGGAAGGAUCCACCUCUAAGAUGUUUACCACACUGGCACAUCCAGUAUUGGCAGUAUUGGCCCCUUUCUCUUGGGGUCUCAUCUUCUAGGGCCUCUCCAGGUGGCUUGGAUUUCUCAAAAAAUGGUUGCUCAGGGUGGCCAUACUUUUUACAUGAUGUCUGGCUUCCAAAAGUCACAAAGCAAAAGUUGUCAAAAUAGUGAAGGUUGAUUCUGGCAGUGGUACAUUGGCAUUUCUCAUGUAAUCAGUCUCAGGGUACCUAAAUUCAAGAAGGGGUUGAAAAAUAGAUUCCACCCUUAAAUGGGAGGUUAGGGGAGGUAGCAAAUUUACACUGCAGAACAGCAGGUGGGAUGGGAAACAUUUUCUUGUCUAUCUUUGGAAAAUACAAUCUACCACAUGUAUGAAGAAGAUGUAAUAUGAAGAGGAGUGGAUUGCAGGGUUGCAGAGUGCCCUUAUUUUAGUUAUGGUACCAGCCAUGAAAAGGAGUAGAGGAAGUUCUAGUUUGAGCAAGUCGAAAUACAAAUGGUCAAUUGACAUUCACAUAAUGUGCCUUUAACGAUACUGAGGACGAUGGUUGGAUGAGAAGUGGCAAGCCAAGAAACAAAUUCAACUAGUCUUGUUUAUCCCUGUCUGAGCAUUUGCUUUAGUUCAUUCUUAAUCAUUUACACUUUUAUGCCUAAUUGUUUGCUGGAGGUGAUACAUUGCAAUAGUGACUGCUUAGAUAUGGUUGUGGUGCCAGGUUCUUAAAUCCAGUUCAAGCAAAUGCAGACAUGUUAUCAAGAUGGAUGUUGCCUAUAAAAUCUUAUGUUCCAUAUAACUAGAGCAGAGCUUGGUGUUGGCAGCACUGUGAGAUGGAGCAGAGAACACAUCAAUACCUUUUGUAAUGAUGUCUAUGACAAUCAAGGCGUAUUUUGUCCCUUAAUGUUUUUGUAAAAUCAAUAUGGAUUAUUGAUCCCAACUCCUUAAAGGCUUCUUGGGAAGUUGUGUAUACCAUUAGCAAUUUAUGAGGUAAUUCAACAGUUGGGACAUUAUUUAGUUUUCCAGGAUUAGAAUCCCUUCUAAAUCACCAGUUCUUGUUCUACCUAAUGCUUUCAGGUAAAUAAUCCUAUGAUGUGCUGCACAGCAUCUGUUGUAUCAGUGGCUUUCGUUUUUUUUUCUUUUGGUGCAUAAAUGUUUCUGGAGGUAUUUGAAAAAUGUUGACUUCCAGAUUUCACAUUCAAAGAAUUAGAUUUAGUCUGGAGUAAGACCUGAACAUCUGUAUUUGGAAUACAUGCUGGAUAAUGCUGAGGUAGAUGCUCAAAAUAUUUACCGCUUUGAGUUGGUAGGUUUAUGAUGGCUGGUGUCCAUAUGGAUCUAGUAAAUUUCUGCAUCAGGCAAAGAGAAAAAAACAUCAUCUACCUAUACGUCCUUUACCCCUGUUUUAGUCCAUUUCUUGAUGCUAUAACAGAAUGCCAGAGGCUGGGUAAUUUACAAAGAAAAGAGUUUGUUUUUGUUUUUUUAAGUUCAUGAUUCUGGUGAAUGGAAAGUCCAAGAUCAUGGCACUGGCAUUUGCUCAGCUUCUGGUGAGGGCCACGUGCUGUGUCAAGACAUGGUAGAGGCAAGGACAGGUGAGUGGGUGUAUAAAUAAAUCAAACACGUGGAGGAAUAACCUGCUCUCGUGGUAACUGGUCUAGUUCCAUGGGAGUGAAAACUCAUUCUUGUGAGAUAACAUUAAUCUAUUCAUGAGAAAUCUGCCCCAUGACUCACCUUCCACUAGGCCCCACCUCCCAAUGCUGCUACAUUAGGAAUCAAAUUUCAGCAUAAGAUUUGGCAGGGGCAUACUACAUUCAAACCACAGCAACUCUUUGUCUUUCUUCUCUGUCUAUACUAACAGCGUUUAAGCCCUGUAUGAGGGGUAAACUGUAGAAUACAUGCCUUAAAAUGAAGGUAGUUUUAUAAUUCUGACAAAAUAAUAAUACCACAAGUAACAUAAUAAUAAAAUACUUACUAUUUCUGUUAUUUUACUUUAGUUCCCAUCCUCACAUUAUCUGAUUUAAACCAAAGAAGCAACAACAAAUCAAAGCUUGGAUUAAGAAAAGGAUUGAUCUGAAGGGACCAAGAGCCAACUCAUUUACAUUCACGGAGCGUUCUUUUAGUGUACUUGCUUUUACAGAUAGACUGGUCCAUCUGCAGUGAAUCAGCAGGCCUGUUUACUUAGCUCUUGGCUUUCUUAUAGUUCUAGAGAAAUAUCAGUGGUUGAGAUAAUUAUACAGUGAGACUACAGUUAUUGUGGAGAAAUUGCCUUGUCAAAGAUGGGUGUGCAAUAAUGCAGUCUCUGCAAAAAGCCAUGCCACAGCCUUUUCAUCACUUUAUUAUUAACUCCUUAGCUACCAAUUUAUCAUGGUAAUUAAGGUAAAUUUUAAAAAACAUGAAAAGGUAAAAAAAGACCUCAAUAAUUAUGCAACCUCAAUGUUACAAAUUUUUAUAUUAUUUAGAUGCAAAUUAUUUUAAAUGUUUAGUAUGUCUGUAUAAUUUUAGCUCUUUCCCCUUCCUUUUCAUUUUUCGUAUGUAGCCAUGUUUGCCAAUCGUUUGCUCAUACCAUGAGAUAUAGUUGGAGGUGGCUGGGUAAGGUAAUCUGAAUUAUAGAGGCAGGGAAGGUAAGAAAUUUCCUUUUUCUUUCUUGGAUCUUGUAUAUGUGUCACUUAGAUCUUGUAUAUGUUUCAGCAUGUAUCUUUUUGAAUACAGUUAUUUACCAGAAUGGUGAUGACUAAGAAACACUUGGUUUCUGGCCAGGCACAGUGGCUCACACCUGUAAUCUCAGCACUUUGGGACAUCCACAAGGUGGGUGGAUCACUUGAGGCUGGGAGUUAGAGACCAGCCUGGCUAACAUGGUGAAACCCUGUUUCUACUAAAAAUAUAAAAAUUAGUCUGGCAUGGUGGUUUAUGCCUGUAAUCCCAGCUGGUUGGGAGGCUAAGGCAUGAGAAUUACUUGAACCUGGGAGAUGGAGGUUGCAGUGAGCUGAAAUCAUGCCAUUGCAUUCCAGCCUGGGUGAUAGAGACUCUAUCUAAAAAAAAAAAAGAAAGACUUGGUUUCUGUGAAUUGCUCACAGUCUAGUGGGGGAAGGGGAGAAACUGAAAUGUAAAAAUGAUCAGCACAAAUGUUGUGAAAAAUGCUAGAUAAAUGCAGACUUGGGUACUAUGGGAAUUAAGGGGAGGGAAUACCUACAGAAUAAAUCAUGCAAUCAACCUUGUCCAUGGCUUCUCUGUGAAUGACUUCUAGGCCUCAGUGGUUCAAUUGUCUUGUGAAGUUUGUGCAACAAGACAGUUAGUCUCACAUCUGUGCCAAGAAGUACUAUAAAUUCCCAUUGCUUGAAAAAAUAUAUUCUCCAUGAUUGGCUGAGAAUUCGUGAUUACAUAACUAGGUAUAAAUAAGUAUAAUCUAUUCAUAUGAAAAUAUAAGUAAUUGUGGGAGACAUAAUGUUUUUAGCUGUAUAAAUUCUUUAGCCUUAAAUGUAUACAUGCUUUUUGGAAAGUAGGUUCAGGUGGAGGAGAGGAAAGAAAGUCUGAGGCCAUCAAGUACCUUGUUAAAUGGAUAAGUGGAUGCUUAUACAGCAAAAUAAGGAUAAAGAUAACCAAGAAAGGGAAAUACACAAAAGCUCACCCUAUUUCACAACUUUGCAUAAGAAUCUCCCUCACACUACAUGUAAGCUCUGGCAAACAAAGACUAUUGCUGCUUAAAGUUAAGGGUGACAUGGCCAUAGAGAGGAACAGCCAAAGCAAACCACAUGGAUAACUCAUUGGCCCCUUGCACUGUUAAGAACUGUGACAUCCCUUCACUGUGAUGUGAUAUUUGUCUUCUGACCUCAUUCUCCUAAAAUGGUUGCUUUUCCAUUGGCUUUCAGGCUUCACUCCCUCUCAGUUUGGUAUCAAUGCACACGGACAGCUUUCUGACUCAACCAGGGCUUAUUUCUAGUGUUUUCUUUCAGAAUACCCUUUGGUAGAUAACCUAAUUAUGGGAAAGGUAGCAGUGAUUCUAGGACCCCAGAAACAAAGCACGCUUGAGAUUCUAGCUCCUAGGAAUCAUAAUAUUAAUCAUUCAUUAGAUUAAGAUCCUGUUUUCAUAAUUCCUUUGGGACCCUUGUAUCAGAAAUUACCUGGUGGGCUGAAUACAACUGUAGAUUCCUGACUCUAUUCCAGAAGAGAAUAUCUAAGUGUGGACCCUGGGGAUUGAUAGGCUUGCUCAAGUUUGAGAAUCUCUGGGAUAGCUAAAACAGCAAAGUUCCAUAGGACUAUAGUGUGUGAAAAAUUAUUGACAAACAA
This is a non-coding RNA of Callithrix jacchus (white-tufted-ear marmoset), 4946 nucleotides long. NCBI's taxonomy places the organism in Eukaryota, Metazoa, Chordata, Mammalia, Primates, Cebidae. The record is from RefSeq and is a predicted model, not a curated record.